GGGCGGUUAGCUCAGCUGGGAGAGCAUCGCCCUUACAAGGCGAGGGUCACUGGUUCGAUCCCAGUACCGCCCA
Transfer RNA from Marinobacter sp. BSs20148, 73 nucleotides. It matches the Rfam family "tRNA". From Rfam's summary of the family: Transfer RNA (tRNA) molecules are approximately 80 nucleotides in length. Their secondary structure includes four short double-helical elements and three loops (D, anti-codon, and T loops). Further hydrogen bonds mediate the characteristic L-shaped molecular structure. tRNAs have two regions of fundamental functional importance: the anti-codon, which is responsible for specific mRNA codon recognition, and the 3' end, to which the tRNAs corresponding amino acid is attached (by aminoacyl-tRNA synthetases). tRNAs cope with the degeneracy of the genetic code in two manners: having more than one tRNA (with a specific anti-codon) for a particular amino acid; and 'wobble' base-pairing, i.e. permitting non-standard base-pairing at the 3rd anti-codon position. Lineage: Bacteria; Pseudomonadati; Pseudomonadota; Gammaproteobacteria; Pseudomonadales; Marinobacteraceae. The record is from Rfam.